ACAUUUAACUCUAUUGGAGUCAACUGACUCGAUGCUGCUCCUAAAAUUACCAUUGCAGUUGUUUUUAACCUGGCAUCUUCAAAUUAAUUCUACAGGAGGGAACAGGUUACCUUCUCGCCAACUGCAACUAACACUGUUUUCCAUGCCAUUAGCCAAAGAAGAUGUCAUGUCUCUCAAAGAAGCAGAAAAACAAACCAACCUUGCACCUAUUUAGUGUUUUGAUAUGGUAUACAACGUUAAGGAAAAUUAUAAAACAUUUUCAGAUUUCUAGAACAAGACACUGGAAAUUCAGACCUUCUACUGGCCUCUCAGAUACUUCAAGU
Tympanuchus pallidicinctus (lesser prairie-chicken) is the source of this 323-nucleotide long non-coding RNA. RefSeq lists it as uncharacterized. Lineage: Eukaryota; Metazoa; Chordata; Aves; Galliformes; Phasianidae. The record is from RefSeq and is a predicted model, not a curated record. The transcript is spliced from 3 exons.